Molecule: long non-coding RNA, 698 nt
Organism: Haemorhous mexicanus (house finch)
Lineage: Eukaryota; Metazoa; Chordata; Aves; Passeriformes; Fringillidae
Exons: 3
Source: RefSeq, a predicted model, not a curated record
UUCCCUGCUGGCCGGCGGCCGUGCCGUGUGAAUUCCCGCACAUUCCCGAAUUUUACGUGGGAGGAAGGGAGUGCGAGGCACACGUAGGGCAUGGCACAGGCAGUGUAGCAGAGUAAGAGAUGAGGCUGGGGUUGAGAGCCGGUUAAAGUCUCUCUUAGGGCUAUUUAUCGCGCGGGUGAUGUGCGUUUCCCUCGGGGUUUGGGUAUUGGCUUGGAAACGAAAUUUUGUGUUUCGUGACGGGCAUUAAAAAAUGGUCAUGCCUGCUCACCAACCUGCUGAAAGGUACGUGGAGUGAGGGAAGUAAAGAAACCUGAGACUUGCUGGUGGGAGAGGAUGAAUCUUAGCGGCCUCUUGGUGAGUGAUACCAGAGCUGGAUCUCAGCCCUGUGAGCGAGACCGAGACCAUCCAGCUUCUGAAGGAAACUACAGGAGAAAGGGAUAUGAAUUGAAUCCUCAAAUGGCAUUUGUGAAGAGGAGUUUCAUAAUUAAUUUCCUUCUGCUUUGCCUGAUUCUCUGCAAUUGGAGCUGUACCUUUUGAUAACUGGGAAACUUCUGUUCCAGUGAGUCUCCAAGUGCUCCAUUAUGACAGAGAGCUAGCCCUACCUGCUGCAUCCGGAAAGGAAUCCUGCUCUCAGAGAAAAAUGCAGUUAUGGAAAUCUGUCUUUUAAAUGCUGCCACAAAAGGAUAAAGCGCACUUUG